GGGUGCAGCAGGCGCGAAAACUUGUCAAUGCACGAAAGUGUGAACGGGCUACCCCGAGUGCCGUCCGCUGAGGAUGGCUUUUCUCCGCUGCAAGGAGGCGGAGGAAUAAGGCGAGGGCAAGUCUGGUGUCAGCCGCCGCGGUAAUACCAGCUCGCCGAGUGGUAGGGAUGAUUAUUGGGCUUAAAGCGUCCGUAGCCGGCCUCUCAAGUCUUUCGUUAAAUCCACCGAUUCAAUCGUUGGAGUGCGGGGGAAACUGCUCGGCUAGGGGACGAGAGAGGCCGACGGUAUUUCCGGGGUAGGGGUGAAAUCCUAUAAUCCCGGGAAGACCACCAGUGGCGAAGGCUGUCGGCUAGAACGCGCCCGACGGUGAGGGAUGAAAGCUGGGGGAGCGAACCGGAUUAGAUACCCGGGUAGUCCCAGCUGUAAACGAUGCAGGCUAGGUGUUAGGGCGGCUACGUGCCGCUCUAGUGCCGCAGGGAAGCUGUUAAGCCUGCCGCCUGGGGAGUACGGCCGCAAGGCUGAAACUUAAAGGAAUUGGCGGGGGAGCA
This 548-nucleotide ribosomal RNA is filed under the name uncultured archaeon. RNAcentral's name for it is "bacterial SSU rRNA". It matches the Rfam family "Archaeal small subunit ribosomal RNA", at positions 328 to 878 of the family's 1478-position model. The record is from RNAcentral.